This 961-nucleotide long non-coding RNA is filed under the name Mus pahari (shrew mouse). RNAcentral describes it as "RIKEN cDNA 4933434M16 gene (MGP_PahariEiJ_G0004674.1)". Lineage: Eukaryota; Metazoa; Chordata; Mammalia; Rodentia; Muridae. The record is from RNAcentral.
AGACAUUCUUUCAGUGUUAUCAAUAGUUAUCAGUGUUAACACAAGAGCUCUAUAGGAUAGAGGGUAUUGCCCCCACUUUUUAGAGGAGGAGGUAAAGCUAUGGAAGAUGACUCCUCUGGGGCCCACAGUGAGAGUCCUGGAACAAGGAUUGAAGUGACAUUGCAGCUUGACCACUGAAACAGCUUGCAAACUCCGGUUCUUGUGAUUUGAGGCCAAGGACUCCAAGAUGGGGUGAUGAGGAGAAGGGGAGAGCCAGAUCUUAGCCUUGCCAUUUGGAAAAGGGCUUGCUAUUCAUCCUUUUGGAUCCUGCAAUUCAUCAUCUUGAGUGGAUUUGUUGCAAAAGCACGAUCACGACCAAUCUGACAUCUACAAUGGCAUCGUUUCCUGUGGGGUCCCUGAUCUGCCAGUAGGGGAUUCUCUGAAGCAAUUAGACAGAAGCAUCGCACAAGCUCAUAGGCAUAACAUGGCCAUCGGGCAAGGACAGCACCUUCAAAUGAAUGCAGGAGAGUAGCAUAUGGAUGGAGAAGAUGCACUGUGCGUUCUUGCAGGCAACUUUUCCACUGUGUCUCCCCCUUCAGCCAACACAGGCCUGGAACAAAACAGAAUCUGGAAAGUAGACAUUGCACUGAAUCUCAUGUAGCUUCGGAUUGUGCUUGAGCUUAUCUAAGGUGGAGGUUCGGGGAACAGGGAGGAGCUGUAUAAUAACAUUUGGAACAUUCUUCCUAAGAUCCAUGGCUCCACUUUGACUUAUUCAACAUUAAGAGGAAUAAAGUCCAGAUUGCUUCUGCUGUGUUCCCAAGGCUCACGAAAGCCAGACACUAGACUCCCGUUGGAUCUAAAAGGAAACUCCUGAAUAAAUCCACAAUGUUACUGGGAAAACGUCUUGAAGGGCCAGUGUUUCUGAUUUCUCAGGUACCAGCCAUUAUCUCAAGAUCAUCUUUUAUUAAGAAAUUGUCCCCUA